GUUGGCGGUUGCAGGGCUUGCAGCAGGCUUCGCGGCAGCCCGUCAUCGCGGAGUGCACUGUUGCGGGCCACGUUCCAUUCGCCGCGCAGAUGC
Molecule: transfer RNA, 93 nt
Filed under: Stenotrophomonas lactitubi
Lineage: Bacteria; Pseudomonadati; Pseudomonadota; Gammaproteobacteria; Lysobacterales; Lysobacteraceae
Description: tRNA-Arg
Source: RNAcentral